RNAcentral lists this ribosomal RNA (292 nucleotides) under uncultured Planctomycetota bacterium. Its description in RNAcentral is "uncultured planctomycete partial 16S ribosomal RNA". The record is from RNAcentral. Lineage: Bacteria; Pseudomonadati; Planctomycetota.
GGACUACUGGGGUUUCUAAUCCCGUUUGCUCCCCUGGCUUUCGCGCCUCAGCGUUAGAAGAGGUCCAGUCGAGCGCUUUCGCCACCGGCGUUCCUUCUGAUAUCAACGCAUUUCACCGCUCCACCAGAAGUUCCCUCGACCCCUACCUCCCUCGAGCCCCUCAGUAUCCAAGGCACUUCUCCAGUUGAGCUGGAGGAUUUCACCCCGGACUUGAGCGGCCGCCUACGCGCCCUUUAAGCCCAGUGAUUCCGAACAACGUUCGCACGGUUCGUCUUACCGCGGCUGCUGGCAC